GAUGAGCGCUGGCGGCGUGCCUAAUACAUGCAAGUAGAACGCUGAAGGAGGAGCUUGCUCUUCUGGAUGAGUUGCGAACGGGUGAGUAACGCGUAGGUAACCUGCCUGGUAGCGGGGGAUAACUAUUGGAAACGAUAGCUAAUACCGCAUGACAACAGUUAUUGCAUGAUAACUGUUUAAAAGGGGCAACUGCUCCACUACCAGAUGGACCUGCGUUGUAUUAGCUAGUUGGUGAGGUAACGGCUCACCAAGGCGACGAUACAUAGCCGACCUGAGAGGGUGAGCGGCCACACUGGGACUGAGACACGGCACAGACUCCUACGGGAGGCAGCAGUAGGGAAUCUUCGGCAAUGGACGGGAGUCUGACCGAGCAACGCCGAGUGAGUGAAGAAGGUUUUCGGAUCGUAAAGCUCUGUUGUAAGAGAAGAACGAGUGUGAGAGUGGAAAGUUCACACUGUGACGGUAGCUUACCAGAAAGGGACGGCUAACUACGUG
RNAcentral lists this ribosomal RNA (495 nucleotides) under uncultured bacterium. Its description in RNAcentral is "partial 16S ribosomal RNA". It matches the Rfam family "Bacterial small subunit ribosomal RNA", at positions 28 to 507 of the family's 1533-position model. The record is from RNAcentral.